GUAAAUAUAGUUUAACCAAAACAUUAGAUUGUGAAUCUAAUAAUAGGGCCCCACAACCCCUUAUUUACC
Pongo pygmaeus (Bornean orangutan) is the source of this 69-nucleotide non-coding RNA. The record is from Rfam. NCBI's taxonomy places the organism in Eukaryota, Metazoa, Chordata, Mammalia, Primates, Hominidae.